GCUGAGGUGGCGGAAUUGGUAGACGCGGUGGGCUUAAGCCCCACUGAGGAUUAUACCUCAUGGGAGUUCGAGUCUCCCCCUCAGCA
Molecule: transfer RNA, 86 nt
Filed under: bacterium
Lineage: Bacteria
Description: tRNA-Leu
Rfam family: tRNA
About the family: Transfer RNA (tRNA) molecules are approximately 80 nucleotides in length. Their secondary structure includes four short double-helical elements and three loops (D, anti-codon, and T loops).
Source: RNAcentral